UACGGGGGGGGCCAGCGUUGUUCGGAAUUACUGGGCGUAAAGGGCGUGUAGGCGGCCUUCUAAGUCGGACGUGAAAUCCCUCGGCUCAACCGGGGAACUGCGUCUGAUACUGGAGGGCUUGAAUCCGGGAGAGGGAUGCGGAAUUCCAGGUGUAGCGGUGAAAUGCGUAGAUAUCUGGAGGAACACCGGUGGCGAAGGCGGCAUCCUGGACCGGUAUUGACGCUAAAGCGCGAAAGCCAGGGGAGCAAAC
RNAcentral lists this ribosomal RNA (250 nucleotides) under uncultured bacterium. RNAcentral describes it as "partial 16S ribosomal RNA". It matches the Rfam family "Bacterial small subunit ribosomal RNA", at positions 524 to 773 of the family's 1533-position model. The record is from RNAcentral.